RNAcentral lists this long non-coding RNA (331 nucleotides) under Elaeis guineensis (African oil palm). RNAcentral describes it as "long non-coding RNA (EGUI_LNC004113)". The record is from RNAcentral. Lineage: Eukaryota; Viridiplantae; Streptophyta; Magnoliopsida; Arecales; Arecaceae.
GUACAAUAGCUAUACUCCGCUUGUGGCUCCUCGAUCUCAAAUUCUCAUGGAGAUCGAGAAGGAAGAAUAUGUGAGGAGGCCCCCACCAAUGUGAGCACCACCGCAUUCUCACAAUCGGAACAGAUACUUUUAGUUCCACCACGACCACGGACACGACAUCGAUGACUGCAUUCAAUUGAAGGAUGAAAUCAAGAACCUCAUUCACAAAGGGUAUCUCGAAAAAUAUAUCCAAGGUCGACGGUCUAAAGUUGCUGUAGAGCAACCCCCACCACCGAUUGUAGAAAUUUCCAAUAGACUGAUUGCAGGGGUGAUUGACAUGAUCACAAACCAA